This 254-nucleotide ribosomal RNA is filed under the name uncultured bacterium. RNAcentral's name for it is "partial 16S ribosomal RNA". It matches the Rfam family "Bacterial small subunit ribosomal RNA", at positions 524 to 776 of the family's 1533-position model. The record is from RNAcentral.
GACAGAGGGGGCAAGCGUUGCUCGGAAUUACUGGGCGUAAAGGGCGCGUAGGCGGGAUGGCAAGUCAGACGUGAAAUCCCUCGGCUUAACCGGGGAACUGCGUCUGAUACUGGAUGGCUUGAGUUUGGGAGAGGGAUGCGGAAUUCCAGGUGUAGCGGUGAAAUGCGUAGAUAUCUGGAGGAACACCGGUGGCGAAGGCGGCAUCCUGGACCAACACUGACGCUGAGUGAGCGAAAGCCAGGGGAGCAAACGGG